CUCAAGUUUUAAAAGUUCUCUUCCACACGGCACUUUCUUAAUUAUCUGUAGUGUGGCUGAGACAAUUAUUUAAGUAUACAUAUAAUUCCAUCUUUUUUUUCUAAAACGAAAGAUUGUUUCGUGCUCAACUCACAAACGUCGUCUGGAUCGUGGAGAAACGUUAGUGUUAACGGUCUUCCUGUGGCGUGAAUUUCCAGUUCAUUAGGAAAACAAAUCCUGGUUGAUUUUGCAUCUCGCCUCAGCUCAAACAGGAUCUGGAAUAACAGCCCUUUCUUUUUUGUGUUUGAAACCGAAGCUACUGAAGCACAACAGAGUACACAGCUUAACACGGACGACAUCCAGCAACAAAGCAGCAGUCUGGUUAUAUGCUGGUCUACAAGCGGCAUCAGGUUAUCAGGACAGUGCAGAGCAGACAGCAAGCGAAGUGGGACCGGAUCAGGAAACGUUCUCGAGAUGGGAUUCGAACUUGGGACACCAGUAACGCAAUAGCGUAAUAUGUCGGCACACUUGCCCACAAGGCAGGGUUGCCAGGUAUGCAAAACAAAACUGGCCUAAGUGCUAAUCAAAACUAGCCCAUUCCUGUUUUUUAGUGGUUUCUGUCCAAAUUGUGUUCUGGGGAGAUCACUUUAAAAACUUUAAAAACAACCUGUGGCAAGAGUGUAAAAGUAGCCGAAUUCCGCAGUAAAGUGCAGACUUGACAACCUUGCCACAAGGCUAUUGGUGCUGAAUGUGAUGCUUUUUUAUAUUAGCAUAAAUAUGCAUUAUCAGUCUGGUUAUAACAUUUUACUUUUAUGCUAACAUGUCAAGCUGACUCUAAGCACAGUUGACCGUUUGCAAACAGCUUGAUUGACAGGCGAUCUGACCAAUCAUAACACCGAAUCCGCCGUUCUGUCCGACAAAUAAAUUUAGACAGGAGAGUAGAUUAACUUCAGUGGACCUAAACAUUGUGUGUAUUGAUGUCUUUCUGUGGUUGAAAUAAAAUGCGUUACGAUCAUGUUUUUUUUCAUGCUUUGAGUAAAUAAGAUGACGUGUCAUUGAUCUAAUAAAGGCAAUACAUCGAUCUGUCACAACACAUUAAUAAGCCACAAACGGAUAAAUGGUAUUUACUGUUUGAAUAUCUUUAAAAAAAUGACAAAAUUUUAAAGCUGACACUUUGUUUUAUACCAGAAGUAGCCUGCUCU
Molecule: long non-coding RNA, 1181 nt
Organism: Labeo rohita (rohu)
Lineage: Eukaryota; Metazoa; Chordata; Actinopteri; Cypriniformes; Cyprinidae
Exons: 3
Source: RefSeq, a predicted model, not a curated record